Molecule: transfer RNA, 72 nt
Filed under: Araneus ventricosus
Lineage: Eukaryota; Metazoa; Arthropoda; Arachnida; Araneae; Araneidae
Description: tRNA-Glu
Source: RNAcentral
UUCCCACACCGGGACUUGAACCCGGGCCUCCUGGGUGAGAGCCAGGUAUCCUAACCACUAGACCAUGUGGGA